GACGAACGCUGGCGGCGUGCCUAAUACAUGCAAGUAGAACGCACAGUUUAUACCGUAGCUUGCUACACCAUAGACUGUGAGUUGCGAACGGGUGAGUAACGCGUAGGUAACCUGCCUGGUAGCGGGGGAUAACUAUUGGAAACGAUAGCUAAUACCGCAUAAUAUUAAUUAUUGCAUGAUAAUUAAUUGAAAGGUGCAAUUGCACCACUACCAGAUGGACCUGCGUUGUAUUAGCUAGUAGGUGAGGUAACGGCUCACCUAGGCGACGAUACAUAGCCGACCUGAGAGGGUGGUCGGCCACACUGGGACGGUGACACGGCCCAGACUCCUACGGGAGGCAGCAGUAGGGAAACUUCGGCAAUGGACGAAAGUCUGACCGAGCAACGCCGCGUGAGUGAAGAAGGUUUUCGGAUCGUAAAGCUCUGUUGUAAGAGAAGAACGGGUGUGAGAGUGGAAAGUUCACACUGUGACGGUAUCUUACCAGAAAGAGACGGCUAACUACGUG
Molecule: ribosomal RNA, 505 nt
Filed under: uncultured bacterium
Lineage: Bacteria
Description: partial 16S ribosomal RNA
Rfam family: Bacterial small subunit ribosomal RNA
Source: RNAcentral